Molecule: long non-coding RNA, 562 nt
Organism: Gossypium raimondii (Peruvian cotton)
Lineage: Eukaryota; Viridiplantae; Streptophyta; Magnoliopsida; Malvales; Malvaceae
Exons: 2
Source: RefSeq, a predicted model, not a curated record
UUAUAUCCUAUUGCAUUGCAUUUAAAAGUAUCUGUUAGAUAAAUUUUAUUUUCCGGAAAACAAUUUCAGAAAUUUCCAUUCCGCAAAAUAAAACAAGUCAAUGUAAAUUAUUUGGUUAGUUCAUUUGGGUCAAGUUGUUUUACGUGUGAAAGCUGGAAACAUUAUCUCCCAAAAGCUUCACUCUCUCGCCCCACAAAUACUCUCAGCUCUCUCACCGAUUCCACAGCUAAGUUUCUCUGCUUCUUAAAAUCUGUCCUUUUUCUUUUUUCUUCUUUAAAAAUGAGUUUAUAUAGAUAUGCUUUGCUGAAAGGAAGAUUUGGUUGAUGUGCCUUUUAAUUUUUUGUUUCGAUUAGUUACUGUUGUUUGCUUACAAAGGCUGAAGGGAGGUCAUUUAUUUCUUCAGUGAUACGAGUUUAUCAUGAAACUUUAAUGGAUUAACGGUCGGACUCGCAUAGCAGUACUACAACUUUAUCAUUCAUCAGUUUUGUUAAGUAAUGGUUAUUUCUUUUCGUUUAGGAAAUAUUUAUAAUAUUGUAAGAAUUAAGUAUGACAUGAAUCUCCA